RNAcentral lists this ribosomal RNA (253 nucleotides) under uncultured bacterium. RNAcentral describes it as "partial 16S ribosomal RNA". It matches the Rfam family "Bacterial small subunit ribosomal RNA", at positions 524 to 776 of the family's 1533-position model. The record is from RNAcentral.
UACGUGGGGUGCGAGCGUUGUCCGGAAUUAUUGGGCGUAAAGGGCUCGUAGGCGGUCUGUCGCGUCGGUAGUGAAAACUCAGGGCUUAACCCUGAGCCUGCUUCCGAUACGGGCAGACUAGAGGUAUGCAGGGGAGAAUGGAAUUCCUGGUGUAGCGGUGAAAUGCGCAGAUAUCAGGAGGAACACCGGUGGCGAAGGCGGUUCUCUGGGCAUUACCUGACGCUGAGGAGCGAAAGUGUGGGGAGCGAACAGG